UGAGGAAUAUUGGUCAAUGGGCGAUAGCCUGAACCAGCCAAGUCGCGUGAGGGAAGACGGCCCUACGGGUUGUAAACCUCUUUUGCCGGGGAGCAAAGAAGCCACGAGUGACUUUUUGAGAGUACCCGGAGAAAAAGCAUCGGCUAACUCCGUGCCAGCAGCCGCGGUAAUACGGAGGAUGCGAGCGUUAUCCGGAUUUAUUGGGUUUAAAGGGUGCGUAGGCGGAGAGCCAAGUCAGCGGUAAAAUCGUGGGGCCCAACCCAUCCCGCCGUUGAAACUGGCUUCCUUGAGUGGAUGAGAAGUAUGCGGAAUGCGUGGUGUAGCGGUGAAAUGCGUAGAGAUCGGGAGGAACACCAGUGGCGAAGGCGGCCUACUGGGCUUUAACUGACGCUGAAGCACGAAAGCGUGGGUAGCAAACA
RNAcentral lists this ribosomal RNA (419 nucleotides) under uncultured Porphyromonadaceae bacterium. RNAcentral describes it as "bacterial SSU rRNA". It matches the Rfam family "Bacterial small subunit ribosomal RNA", at positions 355 to 774 of the family's 1533-position model. Lineage: Bacteria; Pseudomonadati; Bacteroidota; Bacteroidia; Bacteroidales; Porphyromonadaceae. The record is from RNAcentral.